RNAcentral lists this long non-coding RNA (401 nucleotides) under Coturnix japonica (Japanese quail). RNAcentral describes it as "lncRNA (ENSCJPG00005019347.1)". The record is from RNAcentral. Lineage: Eukaryota; Metazoa; Chordata; Aves; Galliformes; Phasianidae.
UGAGUCUGCUGAUGGGUUCCUGUUUGUGUGCACUUAGAAGGAGACUGGGAUCAAAUGUCACUGCUGGAAGAGGAUGGGAGGGAGACUGAGCAGAAGACAAGAGGAAGUGGUAGGACUCUGGGUAUCAAAGGCUCUCUUUACAGCUCAGGAAGAAUUGCAGGAGGAGAAACUGGGUUGUUUGAACUAAGGAAUCCUAUCUGUACUGGAGCCUGGUCUCCUCCGUGAACACCAAGUUUUGAACACCAAGACAUCUGGCUGCUGGGAUACAGUCUAGCGCUGCCUGUUAUCUUUGCUGGAGAACUCUGAUGACUUGUCACAAGAGGAUGAGAGCACUAAAAGCCCUGAAGCUUUGGAUGUCAGUGAAAACAAAAAGGAGAGAAAAAGCACCAGGAGUUUUCUCU